AUGAAAUUUAUUCAAAGUUAUAAAGAACAGUGGUGCUUCACUAAUAUUUUAAAGACCUAGUAACUUAUUUUGAAGUAAAUUUGCAGCAGUUUGUUCUUUGUUCUUUUUGCAAAAUACAUUUGAGCAUUCAAGGUUUUUGGGCUAACAUGUUUCCAUAUGUGAUCCAUAUGUGAAAUCAGACAUUUCUCAGAGAGCCAGGACAAUGUGAACCAGAGGGAGAGUUGGGGAGAAUAUGAACAGGUAGUAGGUUUAUGUGGGUAAAAUUCAUAUUAGCCUAUUUAUAGGCAGGGAAGUAAAAAAUAUUUCUUUUUACUUAAGAAAUACUAAGUAAUUUAAUAUUGCGUAAGUCUUUUUUUCUG
This 359-nucleotide long non-coding RNA is filed under the name Bos taurus (domestic cattle). RNAcentral's name for it is "long non-coding RNA NONBTAT018581". Lineage: Eukaryota; Metazoa; Chordata; Mammalia; Artiodactyla; Bovidae. The record is from RNAcentral.